Molecule: ribosomal RNA, 450 nt
Filed under: uncultured bacterium
Lineage: Bacteria
Description: partial 16S ribosomal RNA
Rfam family: Bacterial small subunit ribosomal RNA
Source: RNAcentral
GUGGGGAAUAUUGGACAAUGGGCGAAAGCCUGAUCCAGCCAUGCCGCGUGUGUGAAGAAGGUCUUCGGAUUGUAAAGCACUUUAAGUUGGGAGGAAGGGCAGUAAGUUAAUACCUUGCUGUUUUGACGUUACCGACAGAAUAAGCACCGGCUAACUUCGUGCCAGCAGCCGCGGUAAUACGAAGGGUACAAGCGUUAAUCGGAAUUACUGGGCGUAAAGCGCGCGUAGGUGGUUUUGUAAGUUGGAGGUGAAAUCCCCGGGCUCAACCUGGGAACUGCCUCCAAAACUGCAUGACUAGAGUACGGUAGAGGGUAGUGGAAUUUCCUGUGUAGCGGUGAAAUGCGUAGAUAUAGGAAGGAACACCAGUGGCGAAGGCGACUACCUGGACUGAUACUGACACUGAGGUGCGAAAGCGUGGGGAGCAAACAGGAUUAGAAACCCUUGUAGUCC